AACGGCCGCGGUAUCUUGACCGUGUGAAGGUAGCGUAAUCAUUUGUCUUUUAAAUGAAGACCUGUAUGAAUGGCGUAACGAGAGCUUAACUGUCUCACUCUUCCAGUCAAUGAAAUUGAGCUCCCCGUGCAGAAGCGAGGAUAAUAACAUAAGACGAAAAGACCCUAUGGAGCUUUAGAAUUUGAGACAGCCUUUUAAAUUUACAUUAAUACAUCUAAAGUGUCUAUCUCUAAUUUCUUCGGUUGGGGCGACCACGGAGAAAAACAAAACCUCCACGAGGAAUAAUACACAUAUUUCUUAAAAUUAAGAAUGACAACUCUAAAUUUCAGAAUAUCUGUCCACAAAAGAUCCGGCUUAUUUCGACCGAUCAACGAAUCAAGUUACCCUAGGGAUAACAGCGCAAUCCCCUUUUAGAGCUCACAUCGACAAGGGGGUUUACGACCUCGAUGUUGGAUCAGGACAUCCUAAU
RNAcentral lists this ribosomal RNA (469 nucleotides) under Cynodonichthys hildebrandi. RNAcentral's name for it is "partial 16S ribosomal RNA". It matches the Rfam family "Bacterial large subunit ribosomal RNA", at positions 1926 to 2551 of the family's 2925-position model. The record is from RNAcentral. Lineage: Eukaryota; Metazoa; Chordata; Actinopteri; Cyprinodontiformes; Rivulidae.